ACAUGUGGACAGUAUGGGAGUGAGAAUGUUGGCAUGAGUAGCGAGAUGUGGGUGAGAAUCCCACAGGCCGUAAACCCAAGGUUUCCAGGGGAAGGUUCGUCCGCCCUGGGUUAGUCGGGACCUAAGCUGAGGCCGAAAGGCGUAGGUGAUGGACAACAGGUUGAUAUUCCUGUACUACCGAUAACCGUUUGAGAGAAGGGAUGACACAGUAGGAUAAGCUAAGCACACUGUUGGUUAUGUGUGCCCAAGCAUUGAGGCAGUCAAAGUAGGCAAAUCCGCUUUGAUAAUGCUGGGAUGUGAUGGGGAGCGAAAUUUAGUAGCGAAGUAGCUGAUUUCACACUGUCAAGAAAAGUCUCUAUCGAGGUUAAAGGUACCCGUACCGCAAACCGACACAGGUGGGUGAGGAGAGUAUCCUAAGGCCAGCGAGAGAACUGUUGUUAAGGAACUCGGCAAAAUGACCCCGUAACUUAGGGAUAAGGGGUGCCACCAUCAGGUGGCCGCAGAGAAUAGGCCCAAGCGACUGUUUACCAAAAACAUAGGUUUCUGCUAAGUCGCAAGACGAUGUAUAGGAGCUGACGCCUGCCCGGUGCUGGAA
This 595-nucleotide ribosomal RNA is filed under the name Clostridioides difficile. Its description in RNAcentral is "partial 23S ribosomal RNA". It matches the Rfam family "Bacterial large subunit ribosomal RNA", at positions 1269 to 1874 of the family's 2925-position model. The record is from RNAcentral. Lineage: Bacteria; Bacillati; Bacillota; Clostridia; Peptostreptococcales; Peptostreptococcaceae.